Molecule: ribosomal RNA, 253 nt
Filed under: uncultured bacterium
Lineage: Bacteria
Description: partial 16S ribosomal RNA
Rfam family: Bacterial small subunit ribosomal RNA
Source: RNAcentral
UACAGAGGGGGCAAGCGUUGUUCGGAAUUACUGGGCGUAAAGGGCGCGUAGGCGGCCUGUUAAGUCGAACGUGAAAUCCCCGGGCUCAACCCGGGAACUGCGUCCGAUACUGGCAGGCUUGAAUCCGGGAGAGGGAUGCGGAAUUCCAGGUGUAGCGGUGAAAUGCGUAGAUAUCUGGAGGAACACCGGUGGCGAAGGCGGCAUUCUGGACCGAUAUUGACGCUGAGGAGCGAAAGCCAGGGGAGCAAACGGG